RNAcentral lists this ribosomal RNA (404 nucleotides) under Actinomycetes bacterium. RNAcentral describes it as "Actinobacteria bacterium partial 16S ribosomal RNA". It matches the Rfam family "Bacterial small subunit ribosomal RNA", at positions 355 to 776 of the family's 1533-position model. The record is from RNAcentral. Lineage: Bacteria; Bacillati; Actinomycetota; Actinomycetes.
UGGGGAAUAUUGGACAAUGGGCGCAAGCCUGAUCCAGCCAUGCCGCGUGAGUGAUGAAGGCCCUAGGGUUGUAAAGCUCUUUCACCGGUGAAGAUAAUGACGGUAACCGGAGAAGAAGCCCCGGCUAACUUCGUGCCAGCAGCCGCGGUAAUACGAAGGGGGCUAGCGUUGUUCGGAUUUACUGGGCGUAAAGCGCACGUAGGCGGACUUUUAAGUCAGGGGUGAAAUCCCGGGGCUCAACCCCGGAACUGCCUUUGAUACUGGAAGUCUUGAGUAUGGUAGAGGUGGGUGGAAUUCCGAGUGUAGAAGUGAAAUUCGUAGAUAUUCGGAGGAACACCAGUGGCGAAGGCGGCUCACUGGACCAUUACUGACGCUGAGGUGCGAAAGCGUGGGGAGCAAACAGG